RNAcentral lists this unclassified non-coding RNA (353 nucleotides) under soil metagenome. RNAcentral's name for it is "partial contains 5.8S ribosomal RNA, internal transcribed spacer 2, and large subunit ribosomal RNA". The stretch from base 1 to 120 matches the Rfam family "5.8S ribosomal RNA", at positions 35 to 154 of the family's 154-position model. The record is from RNAcentral.
GAUGAAGAACGUAGCGAAAUGCGAUAAGUAAUGUGAAUUGCAGAAUUCAGUGAAUCAUCGAAUCUUUGAACGCACAUUGCGCCCGCCAGUAUUCUGGCGGGCAUGCCUGUUCGAGCGUCAUUACAACCCUCAGGCCCCCGGGCCUGGCGUUGGGGAUCGGCGGAAGCCCCCUGCGGGCACAACGCCGUCCCCCAAAUACAGUGGCGGUCCCGCCGCAGCUUCCAUUGCGUAGUAGCUAACACCUCGCAACUGGAGAGCGGCGCGGCCACGCCGUAAAACACACAACUUCUGAAUGUUGACCUCGAAUCAGGUAGGAAUACCCGCUGAACUUAAGCAUAUCAAUAAGCGGAGGA